UAAUACGGAGGGUGCGAGCGUUAUCCGGAUUUAUUGGGUUUAAAGGGUGCGUAGGCGGAAUAUUAAGUCAGUGGUGAAAUCCUGCGGCUCAACCGUAGAACUGCCAUUGAUACUGAUAUUCUUGAAUGUAGUUGAGGUAGGCGGAAUGUGUAAUGUAGCGGUGAAAUGCUUAGAUAUUACACAGAACACCGAUUGCGAAGGCAGCUUACUAAACUAUUAUUGACGCUGAUGCACGAAAGCGUGGGGAGCGAACAGGAUUAGAUACCCUGGUAGUCCACGCUGUAAACGAUGAUCACUCGUUGUUUGCGAUAUAUUGUAAGCGACUGAGCGAAGGCAUUAAGUGAUCCACCUGGGGAGUACGUCGGCAACGAUG
Molecule: ribosomal RNA, 373 nt
Filed under: uncultured Bacteroidia bacterium
Lineage: Bacteria; Pseudomonadati; Bacteroidota; Bacteroidia
Description: bacterial SSU rRNA
Rfam family: Bacterial small subunit ribosomal RNA
Source: RNAcentral